Molecule: ribosomal RNA, 359 nt
Filed under: uncultured bacterium
Lineage: Bacteria
Description: bacterial SSU rRNA
Rfam family: Bacterial small subunit ribosomal RNA
Source: RNAcentral
AGAGAAAUUUGGAUUAAUACCUCAUAGUAUAGCAGUUCGCAUGAAACCACUAUUAAAGUCACAACGGCAAAAGAUGAGCAUGCGUCCCAUUAGCUUGUUGGUAAGGUAACGGCUUACCAAGGCAACGAUGGGUAGGGGGUCCUGAGAGGGAGAUCCCCCACACUGGUACUGAGACACGGACCAGACUCCUACGGGAGGCAGCAGUGAGGAAUAUUGGACAAUGGGCGCAAGCCUGAUCCAGCCAUGCCGCGUGCAGGAUGACGGUCCUAUGGAUUGUAAACUGCUUUUGUACAGGAAGAAACACUGGUUCGUGAACCGGCUUGACGGUACUGUAAGAAUAAGGAUCGGCUAACUCCGCG